This 373-nucleotide ribosomal RNA is filed under the name uncultured bacterium. RNAcentral's name for it is "bacterial SSU rRNA". It matches the Rfam family "Bacterial small subunit ribosomal RNA", at positions 525 to 896 of the family's 1533-position model. The record is from RNAcentral.
ACAGAGGUGGCAAGCGUUGUUCGGAUUUACUGGGCGUAAAGGGUGCGUAGGUGGUAUUGUGUGUCGGUCGUGAAAGCUCACCGCUCAACGGUGAAAGUGCGUCCGAAACUACAAAACUAGAGUGCAGGAGAGGAGAGCGGAAUACUUGGUGUAGCGGUGGAAUGCGUUGAGAUCAAGUAGAACACCGGUGGCGUAGGCGGCUCUCUGGAAUGUAACUGACACUGAGGCACGAAAGUUGGGGGAGCAAACAGGAUUAGAUACCCUGGUAGUCCCAACCCUAAACGGUGUACACUUGUUGUAGGGGGAAUUGACCCCCCCUGUGACGGAGCUAACGCGUUAAGUGUACCGCCUGGGGAGUACGGUCGCAAGAUUA